CGACACAUGCUCGCUAGGGUAUCGCAUCCUAUGCAUACGUAUCUUCACGGACGAGAGAAGAAUCAGAGCAUUCGUAGCUCGGCUGACACGCACACAAACAAACACAGGCAAAGGCAAACGUGGAGCCCGAAUGCCAAUCACUGGACUUAUAUCAGCAUCCGAACCAAAACACACGCAAAGAGGCAAACGUGGAGCCCAAAUGCCAAUCACUGGACUUACAUUGACAUCCGAACCUAAACACACGAACACUGGAACCUAACUGCCACUCGAUGGACUUACAUUAGCUUCCAAGCACACAACAAAACAACAGGUUGAUAGGGAGUCGGGGACUCGAGCCUAUAACUGUCAAACACACACUCAAAACAAACAGACAACAGAUUGCUAAGGAGUCAGGCACUCGAGCCUAGCAACUGUCAGACAACACACACAAAAAGAAAAAAGGGCGCCCGGAGAGAUCAGCUCAAUCUCCUGCCUACAUACUUCAUCUGGUAUGAAGAUCAGGGCGAUGUAGUUCCCCUACGGAGGGAUAAAG
RNAcentral lists this long non-coding RNA (532 nucleotides) under Lathyrus oleraceus (garden pea). Its description in RNAcentral is "Pisum sativum (pea) long non-coding RNA (PSAT_LNC000483)". The record is from RNAcentral. Lineage: Eukaryota; Viridiplantae; Streptophyta; Magnoliopsida; Fabales; Fabaceae.